GCUUUACUGUAACUUGGAAUUGAGUUUGGGCUCUUCUUGCGCAGUAUAGGUGGGAGGCUAAGAAAAUAUGCUUGCGGGCAUAUUUGAGCCAUCAUUGAGAUACCACUCUGGAAGGGUUGGAACUCUAACUUUGAGCCGUAAGCCGGCCAAAAGACAGUUUCUGGUGGGCAGUUUUGACUGGGCGGUACGCCUCCUAAAAAGUAACGGAGGCGUGCAAAGGUUCCCUCAGACUGGUCGGAAAUCAGUCGUAGAGUGUAAAGGCAUGAAGGGAGCUUAGACUGCGAGACUACAAGUCGAGCAGAGGACGAAAGUCGGCCUUAGUGAUCCGAGCGGUCCAGCGUGGAAGGGCGUCGCUCAACGGAUAAAAGUUA
Molecule: ribosomal RNA, 371 nt
Filed under: uncultured alga
Lineage: Eukaryota
Description: bacterial LSU rRNA
Rfam family: Bacterial large subunit ribosomal RNA
Source: RNAcentral